ACAAAAGCUUUGUCUUGGAUGAAACAUGAGAAAUUCUCAGUUAACAAUAUGCAAGCAUAACUCGAUAUUGACCCACAACAUGAGGAACUAAGCAUAACCCAAUAUUCAUCCACACCAUGAGAAACUCACGCCUCACUAAUGAUAUGCAGUAUAACUAAAAUCUAUUUCAUAAAAGGAGAAACUAAUGCACAUGAGAUUCAUUUAUUAACAGUUGAAAUCCAUUGACUCUUCCGAAAUCCACCGGGCAUCCGAACUUAAUCGGGCAACGUCCCCUAAUCGAAGGGUGACGGCUAGAA
Molecule: long non-coding RNA, 296 nt
Filed under: Eucalyptus grandis
Lineage: Eukaryota; Viridiplantae; Streptophyta; Magnoliopsida; Myrtales; Myrtaceae
Description: long non-coding RNA (EGRA_LNC001692)
Source: RNAcentral